AAUUUAUUACACUCGCCUGAUAGCACCUCACAGAGCAAAAACUCCCAAGAACCUCCAUCUUCGACUCUCUGCUCAGCCUCCCAAGAACCGUAGAGGGUCUGCUCAGCAUCCCAAGAAACCUAGUCGUCCUCUCAAUCUCUCAAUCUUCGACUCUCUGCUAAGCCUCCCAAGAACCCUAGAGGGUCUGCUCAGCAUCCCAAGAACCCUAGUCACCCCCUCAAUCUUCGACUCUCCGCUCUUGUCCGUGAGUAUUUCGCUACCUCCCCAACUCGACGCCUUCCAUCAACAGAAGAAGAAGGUGAAGAAGGAAGGUCCCUCGUCCAUUUGUUUCUUUUAAUACAAGCCUCUGGUAGUGCAUAUGGAACUUACUUCCUCGUUGCAAAAUUUGGAGAAUCUCAUGGUGGUGGUGUAGGGUGUGUGAUUGAUGUAGGCCCUCUUAGAUUUCCCCUCUCACAAGAUGAUAUGCAAGUGGAUCUAGAUAGAAGUCACAAGAAGGAAGUGGUAUCCAUGGAGGGAUUGCACAUACGGAAAAUGCACGGUGUCAACUGUUGCAUUGGUACGUAUUUGAAGAAGAAGAAAUUGUAGCAGAAGGAAGGAUUGCAUCGACAGACGCAAGUGCAACGGUCCAUCACAUACCAGUCGGACGAGAUUGUUAGAAGGUUUGGGUUGAGGAAGUGUAUAUGGGCCAUUUGAACUUAUAUAGACCUACCGAUAAAUUUCGAUAGCUUAGUGAAGCCAUAGGAAGUACAAUUGCUUGGCCAAAGAGCAAUAUUAGACUUAUUUGACAAGUUGGUUGCUUUUGUAUGUGGAAUAAUUCAUCUCAAGACUCAAUCCUCGUCAAACAAAAAAAAUUUGGCGAAAGUCCUGGAAUUUUAGCAUGGAUGAAGGUGGUUGGUGAAUACUAGCUCGGGCUUUCUUUUUUGUAAAAUUUGGUGAAAGUCCUUUGUAAAGUUUCCAAACUCGACUAAUCAAUUGUCACAUGGCUAAGCUAGAGAUUCAUGAUCUUAUUUUGUAAUUAGGAUUUAAGUUUUUUGCAACUCAUAUCAGAUCCAUAUUUUGUAAUUAUGAGUCGUGAGAUGAAUUGCAAAAGUUUUCUUUAUGGCAAUCA
This is a long non-coding RNA of Olea europaea var. sylvestris, 1108 nucleotides long. RefSeq lists it as uncharacterized. Lineage: Eukaryota; Viridiplantae; Streptophyta; Magnoliopsida; Lamiales; Oleaceae. The transcript has 5 exons. The record is from RefSeq and is a predicted model, not a curated record.